Molecule: ribosomal RNA, 559 nt
Filed under: uncultured bacterium
Lineage: Bacteria
Description: bacterial SSU rRNA
Rfam family: Bacterial small subunit ribosomal RNA
Source: RNAcentral
CGGAACGUGCCCAGUAGCGGGGGAUAACUACGCGAAAGCGUAGCUAAUACCGCAUACGCCCUUCGGGGGAAAGCAGGGGAUCGCAAGACCUUGCACUAUUGGAGCGGCCGAUAUCGGAUUAGCUAGUUGGUGAGGUAAUGGCUCACCAAGGCCGCGAUCCGUAGCUGGUUUGAGAGGACGACCAGCCACACUGGGACUGAGACACGGCCCAGACUCCUACGGGAGGCAGCAGUGGGGAAUUUUGGACAAUGGGGGAAACCCUGAUCCAGCCAUCCCGCGUGUGCGAUGAAGGCCUUCGGGUUGUAAAGCACUUUUGGCAGGAAAGAAACGGCGCGUGCUAAUACCAUGCGCAACUGACGGUACCUGCAGAAUAAGCACCGGCUAACUACGUGCCAGCAGCCGCGGUAAUACGUAGGGUGCAAGCGUUAAUCGGAAUUACUGGGCGUAAAGCGUGCGCAGGCGGUUCGGAAAGAAAGAUGUGAAAUCCCAGGGCUCAACCUUGGAACUGCAUUUUUAACUACCGGACUAGAGUAUGUCAGAGGGAGGUGGAAUUCCACGU